Molecule: long non-coding RNA, 627 nt
Organism: Oryzias melastigma (Indian medaka)
Lineage: Eukaryota; Metazoa; Chordata; Actinopteri; Beloniformes; Adrianichthyidae
Exons: 4
Source: RefSeq, a predicted model, not a curated record
UACAGAACAUUUAAACAAAUGCAUACAAAACAAAGCAAUGACAAUAAUAAUAAUAAUAUAUCUACACAGAAUAAUUACAGUGGGGUAAAUAUGAGUUAAAAAGAAGUGUAUAUUAGUUUCAAAAAAGAAGAAGCGAUAGUUAAAGAAACUAAACAAGAUAAAACGAUCAAGUCAUCAAGUAAUAAAUAAGCUGGAUUUCUUAUGAUCAUCACAGAAAGGAGCACGGACCUGUUCAGACAAGAAAACAGUGCAGAAAAAGAAGUCGUCACAGUCAAACAGGGCUGGCCUGGGCUGCUUGGCGCCUGCUGCCCCCGGGCAACCCCAACCUCACAACGCCACCACUACUGUCGCCUGGAACAGAAACAACGUAGCUGCCUAGAAUAUGUUGCACAACUUCAACCGGGGAGCUUUGUGAUGGUGGAUAGGCAGGCGGACUGCUGCACAUGGUAAUUUAAUGCCUCGUUCGCACUGAGCGAUCCAGACCGGACUGGAUCGGCCCGGAAUGGAGUUUUGAGAGUUUCCAUUAUAAAUGGACCUGUUAAGCAGGACCGACUGGUAUCAUUUCUGCUCCAUGUUGGUCGUAAGUCCUUAGAAAAAGAUAGAUAGAUAGAUAGAUGGAUGGAUGGA